GCGGAGCUGCGUUCUGCUCUGCACAGACCUUGGGGCACUGCCUCGCUUUGGGACAACUCGGGGCCGCAUCGACGGUGAAUAAAAUCCUUCCUGUUUGCAGCCCUGUUUGUGGUUGGUGGCAGCGAUGGACACUGCAGCCAGCCAGAGCGUAGAAAGGCAUCGGGUGAAAGAAGAUGGCCACAGAGACAGACAGCAGCGUGGUCAGAGUGGUAGGAGCCGGCCAUCAGCGAGAGCUGCUCCAUGCCUGGCUGCUGGGUGCUAGAGUCUGCGGCCCACUGGCUUGCCUCACUGUGGUUGGUGGUGGCGGUGACAGAGACUGCAGCAUGACCAGAGUGGCUUUUCUGGCUUUGCCCGCCCAGCUGCUCCAUGCCAGGAGGAGGAGGAGACACCUAGAGCCUGCGACACCACGGCUCGCCUC
RNAcentral lists this long non-coding RNA (418 nucleotides) under Homo sapiens (human). RNAcentral's name for it is "HSALNT0379731". The record is from RNAcentral. Lineage: Eukaryota; Metazoa; Chordata; Mammalia; Primates; Hominidae.